RNAcentral lists this unclassified non-coding RNA (815 nucleotides) under Hevea brasiliensis (rubber tree). The record is from RNAcentral. Lineage: Eukaryota; Viridiplantae; Streptophyta; Magnoliopsida; Malpighiales; Euphorbiaceae.
CGCCGAGCAGUUUUCCGGUUCAUCUUGCCGGAGAAGUUGAAGCCGUUGGCUGCUCCAAGUCAGGUGUUUAACUCCAAAUCAUCUAUGGAUUCCAAUGAAAAUGGGCUUCCUCAGAUCACUCCUUGUGAUACUGGUGGUGAUAAUGAAAUAGCUGGUGUGGAUAACGGAGAAGAAGAACAUGGCUCGAGCAAGAGAAGAUCAAGCUCUAAGCACAGUUCCCGUGAUUAUGAGGGCGAAAGAGAAUCUUCAAGAAGCAGAGACAGAGAGGGGGAUAAAGGACGUGAUAAGGACAGAGGUAGGAGCAGAGACAGAGAUAGAGAUCAGGAAAAAGAUCGUGAUCGUCGCCACAGUUAUCGUAGCGAGAGGCAUAAGACUAGAGGUAGAGAUGAUGAUGCUAACGUUUCUGAUGGUGGUCCUGAGAGCCGGGAGUACUGGCAGAAAGAUUAUGAUAGAGAGAGGGAUGAGAGGCACAAACAUAGGUCAAAAUCUUAUGAGAAAGAGCGGGAGGAAGGGCAUAGACACAGGUCCAAAUCAUAUGACAAGGAUAGAGAGGAAAGGGAUAGGCACAGAUCAAAAUCCUAUGACAAAGAUCGAGAGGAUAGGCACGGACGCAGAUCUCACUCAAGGGGAACAUCUAGUCGUAGGUCCAGAUCACGUUCUCGAUCACGGUCUCGUUCACGCUCCAAAAGCAAAAGGGUCAGUGGGUUUGACAUGGCACCUCCUACUUCUGCUCUGUUAUCUGGUGCUCCUGCUCUUACAGGUACUUGCUUAUUUUCUUAUAUAUUGGCAAUAUUUUGGUAACUGUUAUUUUGUUU